RNA transcript from Brassica rapa (field mustard), 11586 nucleotides. It is a transcript of the gene named cysteine proteinase RD21A, with no coding region annotated. The record is from RefSeq and is a predicted model, not a curated record. Lineage: Eukaryota; Viridiplantae; Streptophyta; Magnoliopsida; Brassicales; Brassicaceae.
CAUACAAUAUUCAAAUUUAUAUGUUAUAUCUUAUUUUAUCUUUUUAUAUUCUGAGUAUUAUAUUGUAUUUUAGGAUUUUAAAUUUGUUUAUAUGAUUUAAACAUGUACAUGAACCCAAAACAAAUCCAAACCAGAAUUUACAAGUAUUCAAAUAGAAAAUAAAUCUUUAACUAAAAAAAACGAAAUCCGAAUAGGUCCGUAUGUAACUUGAAAGGGCAUCAGAAUUUCCACCCUCACCAAAACUACGUUAAAUCGAAUUAUUAUACCCACACACUGUAGGCCAAAUGGAAAACAUGUUAAGCUAUACCUAAAAGAAAAGGUUAAGCUAUUACCCUCGAUUAAAAUGUUUACGCUUAUUAUACAACUUUUCAAAUGAUCUCUACCAAGUCUGAAAUAGUGGUAAACUUAAGUUCAUAUUUUUUGAAUAGUAGUAGAAGAAAUAUAAUAUUUUCUUAUUAUUUUAAUUUGAUUUUGAGUUAAUUAUAUAUAUCAAAAUAACUUUAUAUCAAAUGUGAAAUAAACAAAAGAAAAAGGAAAAUAGUGACUAAAGUAACGUAUUGGAGUGGCGACGAAGAUGGCGAUCUAGAUCUACGAUGAUCUCACGGCGUUGGAAUCCUGGGAUUCGAGGUUUUUAUGAGGGCUCGAUCUCGCAAUAUGUGGUUAAUCUUCGAUGGCUUGGCUUGGGGAAGUGGUAUUUGGGGAAAUCUCAACGAUUUGAAAUUUCCUUGAUUUGGAUUUUGAUUUCGAUCCUCUUUAAGACGGAAUCAAAUCCUUAUAGAGGUAUCGUAGUUCUUUCUUUUGGUAUUUUCACUCAGAGAUCUGGGGUUAAUAGAAAAGGGAAUCGCGAUGGAUUUGAUGUGGAAUUGAUUUGGGAAGUAUGGGUUUUGCGAUGGAGUUGGUUAAAGGAAAUUGAUUCCAAUUAUAAUUAUACAAGAUUCUGCGAUAAUAGGAGAAAUCGUGGGAAUGGAAUAAUGAAGAUUUUGGAUCAGUAUAAAAGGGAUAUGGGGAUGAGUUUUAUCAUCUCAUUCAAAACUUUCUCUCUUUCUCUUGAAAAAGAUCAAAGUUUUACUUUUCUUCUUUUGGAUAUGACGCAGAGUCAGCUCUUGGGUAAUGUGGGGGAGGUGAAGAACGCUGAAGGCACUCGCAAGAGGCUGAAGAUCUCGGUGCCCCACUUUGACAAUUCAGCGUUGAUCAAAACCUUUUCGAAGACCUUGCUUGGUCGCUGUAUGAAUCCUGAGAAACAGGAGAUGAAGGCGCUGAUCUCGAAUAUGCCGAAGAUCUGGAAAUUGGAGGAGAAGGUGGUGGGUACAGACUUGGGUUUCGGGAAAUUUCAGUUUGAUUUCGAGAAAGAGGAGGAUAUGGAAGGGGUUCUUAAGCUCCAGCCGUUUCACUUUGACUACUGGAUGCUCUCUCUGGCACGCUGGCAACCAAAAAAGUCCUUGCUAUACCCGUUUGAGAUCCCGUUCUGGGUACGUGUGAUAGGCGUACCGGCGGAAUUUAAAACAGAACCCACAUCCGAGAGCAUUGGCAAUGCUAUUGGAAGGACGGUAGCUGUGGAUGUAGUUCACUCCCGAGUUCAAGUGGUGGUUGAUGGGUUUAAGGAGCUCUGUUUUGAAACCACGGUGGAUUUCACAGGCGGAGAAUUCUAUGACGGCGAGGAAGCUCCAGUGUCGUUGAGGUACGAGAAAUUAUUUGGCUAUUGCCAAGUGUGUGGUAGUUUUUGUCACAAAGAUGAAGUGUGCCCAUUAGAUGAGAAGAAUAAGAAAAUGAGUCCGGAGAGGAAACAUGAAGGCAGAGAUGCAAACGGUUCAUGGCAUGAAGGUGGAAAGCAUGAGGAUAGGGCGAGGAGCUACAAGGGUGUUGUGAUAAACGGGAAUGCGCAUAAUAAGGAGAGAGAUGGACGUGAUCACUAUGGCAAAGGCAAGAGCAAAAUGGUGGAGGAGCCAGAGUUUAAGUGGAUAAAUGUAUCAGCGAAAGGAAACAAGAAGGCAUAUACCAGUCGAGGAAACUAUAGGGGAGAUGGUGAUGCUUCUCGUAAUAGACCUGCAAGGAGAGAGGAUACACGAGGUGGAGUUGAGAAUGACCAACCAAGAGAGCAAAAGGAGUACAAAGGGGCACGUGAGGAAGCUCGAGAGGAGGGAGAGAUUCGGAAUGCCGAGGAGCGGGUGGUCACAAUGCCAUCUCAAAAAUUUCAAGAGGAACUGGCCAAAACUCAGGCUGAUGGAACAGAAGCAAUUUCUGAUCCUAUAGAGGCGGAACAAGGCUUAGUAACGGUACAAGGCAUGGUGGAGGAUCAAGGGGAGUUAGAUGAUGAAGACGUGAUGGACAUGGACGAGAUUAAGGCGCACCUACUUGAGAACGGAAUAGAUAUGGAUGCUGAGGACUUUAUGGAGAAUUGUUCAGAGGGAGAGGCUGAGGAGGUGAUCAAGGAAGGUAAUGGCAAGGAGGAAGAAAAAGUGGCGUUUGUGGAAGAGGAGCAAGGUCAGAUUGGCGGUGAUGCAGGGAAGAAACAUGGGUUACGUAAGCGCCUGUUCAAGCCUGCGUUAAGCACGGUGGGGAGUUCUAGGAUGAGGGUCUUCAAUGCGCUGGCGUCACCAAGGAAAAGAGCUGUACCUAAGUCAGGAACAAGGCAAGGAGAUACCAGUAAGCAAACAGAGUUUAAGGGUCCUUUAAACCCGAAAUCUGGCCAGCAGAAGUCUUGAGUUUAUGGAUAGAGUCCCUCUACAAGAGUGGUUGAGCAAACCGGGGUUGGUUUAUGGUCUGUUUAAGGGUUUUGUUUGUUCGUCGGUUUUACUAAGCUUUAGAAGUAUUUGGUUUUCAUUUGAGUUAAAGAAUAAGUUGUGUCUGCUCUUUGUUUUGUUUCAUGGUUGUUGGUUAGUCUUUAUCUGGAGAGAAAUCAAUGGAUUAAUAAAAAUGCGCUGGGUCUUUGGUAUUGCAGUUUCUUUGUUUUGUGUUGUAUUCGGGUUUGGUAUAGUGGUGACAGUUCUUUUCAGGAGUAUGACUGUUAUGUGGAUAUGUUUAUGUACCGGAAGGUAGUGAGUGGUGGUCUAUCUGGUUUCUUUGGUUUAGUGGUGUUAAUUAGAAGAUUUAGGGUACACUGGCUUGGCUCGUAUUUGUGGCAGCAGAGGGGUUGGGGUAUAGUAGUGACGCAAGGGGGGAUCAUGCUGUGGAGGUGGAAUGGUUUCGGAGUAAGAAGUCAUUCUGUGGUACUUAAUGUAGACGAUAAGGCUAUUUUAGUUUAUUGGUCGAACAAGUAUUUGGGGACUACUCGAUUUAGUACCUGGGUUUAUAGGGUCUUGGGGCGUAACAUUACACUUUUGUUUAUCGUAUGUUGUUGUUUUAUUUUUAAAAAGGGGAGUGUAAUUGGUUUAAAAAGGUUUCAGUCUGUUGGAGGAGAUUCCUGGAUAUGUGGAAGAGUUAAAUGUUUAUCAGGUGAUUGGUUAAUUGGACAAGACUUUGGGGGGUUUAAUAACCUUACCGGGAGUAUGUUACGAUAUAUUCAUAUCAGUUUCGUUUUAUAUUGUGAUAGAGAGGCUUCGUUGUUUAAUGCUUUGAAUGAGAUUUGGAUAGUGGCAAAGAUGAAGGAACAAAGGGUUGGAGUGGUUAUGGUUAUUUUAUGGACUGACCACAAAGGGUUUCAUUACAUCCGCUGGUUUCUGGCUCUCCGGAGUAAAUAAAAAAAAUAAUUUUUAAUGAGAGUUUUAAGUUGGAAUUGUCGAGGAAUGGGAAGUAAAUGGACUAUAAGUUAUUUGAGCGAAAUACGGCAUAAACCGGAUUUUUUAUUUCUGGCAGAAACUAAGCAAGAACCAGAUUUUGUUCAAAAAUUUCAAGCUCACUUUGGUUAUGACAAUUUGGUAACAGUUGAUCCAUUGGGGCGGAGUGGAGGCUUAGCACUUUUUUAUAAUAACGAAUUUCAGGUGAAGGUAUUAUAUUCUAGCAAUCAAAUGAUUGAUGUAGAAGCAGAGGCUCUUGGCAAAACGGUUUAUCUUACUUUUGUAUAUGGAGAUCCAGUUCAAAAAAUGCGAGAGCAAGUGUGGGAACGGUUAACUAGGUAUGGACUGGCACGAUCUGAACCAUGGUUUGUUAUUGGGGAUCUCAAUGAGAUUACAGGGAAUCAUGAAAAAGAUGGAGGAUCUAUUAGGAGUGCAGAUUCUUUUGUUCCUUUUAAUAAUAUGAUAAGAAAUAGUGGUUUACUCGAAUUUCCGGCCCGGGGGAACAAAAUGUCAUGGCAAGGGAGAAGAGGAAAAGGAAAAGGGGCUGUGACGGUUAGAUGCCGUCUAGAUCGUGCCUUAGCAAAUGAAGAAUGGCACACUUUAUUCCGAUGUUCUUAUACAGAGUAUCUUGGAAUGGUGGCAUCUGAUCAUCGGCCAGUGGUGGCAUAUUUGGAGGAUAAAGUCACCAGGAGGAAAGGACAAUUUCGGUUUGAUAAGAGGUGGAUUGGACAGACGGGCCUUAUGGAAUCAAUUAUAUCAGGUUGGAUAGAUUAUAAUGAAGGAGGAAAUGAAGGGAGUACACAUAAUGUAGUGGAAAAAAAUAGUAACUGUCGUCACGAAAUUGCUAAGUGGCGAAAAGAUAAUCCUCCUUAUGGAAAGGAAAAAAUUAAUGAACUACAACAAGCCCUAGAGGAGGUGCAAACAGAUAAUUCUAGAUCUCAGGAGGAUAUUUUGGAGGUCUCUAGGAAAUUACAGAAUGCAUAUAAGGAUGAGGAAGAGUACUGGUACCAGAAAAGCCGGAAUAUGUGGUAUGCAUCUGGGGAUCUUAAUACAAAAUUUUAUCAUGCUUUAACAAGGCAAAGACGGGUUUGUAAUAGAAUUGUUGGUUUACAUGAUGUGGAUGAGAAUUGGAUUACGGAGGAAAAUGGGGUGGAAAAAGUAGCAAUAAGUUAUUUUGAGGAUCUAUUUACUACCACUUCCCCAUCGGAUUUUGACAGCUUUCUUUCAGAGGUAACACCGACCAUUACUCCUCCGAUGAAUCAACACUUGUUGAGAUUAGCGACGGAGGAGGAGGUCAAAGAAGCUUUGUUUAUGAUGCAUCCUGAAAAGGCGCCGGGGCCGGACGGCAUGACAGCUCUCUUUUUUCCAACAUGCCUGUCAUAUUAUAAAAAAUGAUUUAGUGGAGAUGGUGAAUGAUUUUUUGGUCUCGGGAGAUAUGGACACUCGGUUGAAUGUUACUAACAUAUGUAUGAUUCCUAAAACAGAGAGACCUAUGAGGAUGACGGAAUUGAGGCCAAUUAGUCUAUGUAACGUGGGUUACAAGAUUAUUUCGAAGGUUUUAUGCCAGCGAUUGAAAAUCUAUCUUCCAUUGCUCAUAUCUGAAACUCAAUCGGCUUUUGUGGCAGGAAGGCUGAUUUCUGAUAAUAUCCUUAUCGCUCAGGAAAUGUUUCAUGGAUUACGGAACAAUAAAGGAUGUCAAGGAAAGUAUAUGGCAAUCAAAACGGACAUGAGUAAAGCGUAUGAUAGAGUGGAAUGGGACUUUAUUAGGGCAUUAUUAUUGAAAUUAGGAUUUGACCUUCAUUGGGUCAAAUUGAUGAUGGAAUGCAUAUCGUCGGUUCAAUACAGGGUACUCAUAAAUGGUCAACCACGAGGUCUUAUUUUUCCUCAUAGAGGCCUACGGCAAGGAGAUCCGUUAUCACCGUAUUUAUUUAUUUUAUGUACAGAGGCUCUGAUUGCAAAUAUAAAAAAGGCAGAGAAGAGUCAACAAUUGACAGGGAUGAAGGUAGUGAGAGCUUGUCCGGCGAUAUCACAUUUGCUUUUUGCGGAUGAUAGCCUCUUUUUUUGUAAAGCUCAAAAAGAGGAGUGUCAAACCAUUCUUCGGAUUUUAAAGGAAUAUGAGGCCGUAUCAGGACAGUUAAUCAAUUUUGAUAAGUCUUCAAUUCAAUUUGGACACAAGAUUGAGGAAUCUGUCAGACAAGAAUUAAGGGAUUUUUUGGGUAUUCAGAAUAUUGGAGGAAUGGGAUCUUACCUUGGUUUGUCGGAAAAUAUGGGGGGUUCAAAGACCCAGGUUUUUAGUUUUGUGCAAGAUCGGUUAAAUAAGCGAGUUAAUGGAUGGACGUUUAGGUUUUUCACGAAAGGAGGGAAGGAAGUGAUCAUUAAAUCAGUGAUUACAGCAUUACCAAAUCACACGAUGUCCUGCUAUCGGUUACCAAAGGCUAAUGUGAAGAAACUGACGAGUGCGGUUUCACAAUUCUGGUGGAGUCCAGGGGGAAGUACUAGAGGCAUGCAUUGGAAAUCAUGGGACAAAGUAUGUGCAGAGAAAGAUGAAGGAGGUUUGGGUUUUAAGGACAUCACUGAUUUCAAUACGGCGAUGCUUGGUAAACAGUUAUGGCGGCUGAUUGAAAAGCCCAAUACGUUAUUUUCUCGAGUUUUCAAAGGUCGGUAUUACAGGAAUGCUUCACCUUUGUAACCGAUUCAUUCAUACUCCCCGUCUUACGACUGGCGGAGUAUUGUUUCUGCUAGAUCUCUGGUAAGCAAAGGACUAAUCAAAAGGGUGGGAUCAGGAUCUUCCAUCUCGGUGUGGAAUGAUCCUUGGCUCCCAACCACUCGCCCGAAACCAGCUAAUAAAAAUCAACACAAUUUAUAUCCGGAUCUUAAAGUUGAGUCUCUCAUUGACUUGGCUUCGCGUACUUGGAAUUUGGAGGCAAUUCAGGUUUUAGUGGAUCCCCAAGAUGCAAAACUAAUAGAAAGCAUUCCAUUGAGCAGGACUCAACGGAUAGAUAAAGAUGGAUGACAUUUUACAAAAAACGGGAAAUAUUCAGUCAAAUCAGGGUAUCAGGUCGAGAGAAUCUAUCCAGAUAGAGAAAUACCACCAUUACUGAUUGGUCCCACGGUUGAUGUUUUAAAGGCUUUCUGUUGGAAAAUACGUUGCCCACCAAAGAUUAAACAUUUCUUAUGGCAAUUAGUGACAGGGUGUAUAGCAGUGCGGAAGAAUUUACAAUCAAGGGGGAUUCAGGGGGAUAUUUGCUGUGUAAGGUGUGGAGCUAAUGAGGAAUCGAUAAAUUAUGUAUUUUUUGAAUGUCCUCCAGCUAUUCAGGUUUGGGCGCUUUCGAAGAUACCAUCAAACCCAACAUUUUUCCCAACCAAAUCACUCUUCACAAAUAUGGAUCAUCUAUUUUGGAGAGUCCUCCCGCAGAUGGAGGACGACCAGUUUGCUUGGAUACUUUGGUACAUUUGGAAAGACAUGAAUAAUAAAGUUUUCAGUAAUUUGGAUAUGGAUCCCAUGGAUACGCUUAAACUGACAGAAACAGAGUCGACAUUAUGGGCUGAAGCACAAGUCUUAAAUGUUCAGGGAACGGCUCCACAAAUAAAUACGACAUUACCAUCAAUUCCUGGAAGAUGGUGUUUUACGGAUGGUUCUUGGAAAGAAGGUUCUAACUUCUCAGGACAAGGUUGGCUCAGUACUUUGGUAGGGUUUGAUGGAUUGAUGGGGGUAAGGAAUGUUCGGGCUAGUCUAUCGCCUCUUCAUGCGGAGAUGGAGGCGUUAUUAUGGGCAAUGGAAUGUAUGAAGAAUUUACGUCAAUUUCAGGUUACGUUUGCAACGGAUUGUUCUCAAUUGGUGAAGAUGGUUUCGGAACCAGAGGAGUGGCCAGCUUUUGCAAGUUAUUUGAAAGACAUCAAGACCCUGAAAGAGUUCUUCACCCGAUCAGAGAUUCUCUAUGUACCACGGACGCAAAACUCAAAGGCGGAUAGUCUAGCUCGCAGUGCUAGGAAACAACCGUCUUUUGUUGUUUACAUGGAUGCAGAUCACCCGGUUUGGUUUACAGAGUCAAUAUGAGUCUGUAUAGUUGAUGACAAAAAAAAAAAAACUUUAUAUCAAAUACAUCAUUUAUCUACUAAAAAUAAGUUUUCUAUCCAAUAUUUAUUUUUCUCUUUGUAGAUUGGGUUCAACUUAUUGGAUAUAUAUCACUUUUGAUUAUUUUGGCGGCAAAAAAAAGAAAGAUUAUUUUGGCAUUUUAUCAUACCGGAAUCGAAGCAAAAUGUAGAUUGAACACCAUACCUAGGCCGAGAAAAAAAAAAACACCAUACCUAAAACAUGUUAAAUAGAUAUCUCAAUUUAUUUAUUUGUUAGUGAUACUCACACUCUAGCCCAAGUAGAAAAUUGGUUGAGCUAUCUAGCCUCGAGUAAAAUGUUUACUCUUAUUCUACAACUUUUCAAAAUUUCUCUACCAACUCUGAAAUAAGUUAAAAUUUUAAUACAAAAAUACGAUUCUUUUUUUCAUUCUUUUCAUUUUGAGUUAAUUUUUUAUAUAUCAAAUAGACCAUUUAUCUUCCAAAAAGAAGUAUCCUAAUCCCGCAUUUUUUUUCUCGCUGUAGAUUAGGUUCAACUUGUUUGAUAUAUAUAUCACUUUUGAUAUUUUGCUUUCAGUCAGAUUAAAUGAAUUUUCCUAUCUAGAUUGAACAUUAUAUCGAAAAUUCAGCAUUUUAGAAAUUAAGAAGAGCAACCAACAUCACACAAAAAAAUAGAAUAGCAUUUUAUUUAAAAGAAAAAAACAUUUAUCACGCUAUCUCAUUUGGCUUUUAUAUAUGAGUGAAUUGGGUGAAAAUCUUAGAAAAAAUAACAAAUUAAGAAAAUACCUAUGACAUAAAAAUUGUGGGGAUUCAAAAUGAUCCAGUAUAGUCAAAAUGAUAAAAUUAUCCUUUUGUUUAUAAAAGAGAUAUUUACUUGAUGACUGGUGAUAAUAGGUUAAAAAUUAAAAAAAAAAUAUAAAUGUAAUUGAGGGAAUUUGACAUGUUCGAGAACACAGUCAAAUCGGACGAACGGCAAAUCAGACGAACGAUUACAUGCCGGCGAGACGCUUAGUGGUGGUGUGUCAUGGCUAUAUCACCAUAAUCGACAAGGAAAUCGGAGCCAGCAAUUUGUUUUUAUUUUUUCUAAGUUUUGAAUUAUCAAAAUCGUGUAUUAGUGAUAGAUUUAUGUAAUUGAAAUACAAACAAUAAAAAAUCGCACAAAGCUUUGAUGAUAUAGGAGGAAACUGAAGCCGGCGGCCAUGAAAACAGCUUAAGCUGUCGAAAAUCAUAAAAAAAUUAGGGGAAGAAGAUGAGUUAUUUACAUUUAUGCCACUCAUUAAAAAAUAAAAUAAAAUAAGUCUAAGGGUGCAACUCGAACCUGGGAAAUGAGUUUGAGAGUAGCAACGUAAACCACCAGACCACUGUAACUUAUUCAAAUAUGGCUCGCAAACUCUAUACUAUAACCUUUAUUUCCGAAAAUGGUAUUCAAAGAAAGUUAGCGACAUGUUAAAUUGACCUUAAAAAUAAUCUGGUGGUUUGUAUUUAGCUAGGGAACAGAAACACAGGUUGGGUUAAAAUAAAAUUUAUGUUGCUAAAGAAAGUUGUGGAGAUUGAUUUUUAGAGUUUUAGCAUGUUUUAUGAUGUAAAUAUACGCUAAAAAAAUUAUUAACGGGUAACUCUUUGUGUGUAAGGUUUACAACAGCUGCUAACGGUGUAAAUGGGCAUUUUAUACAAGAGGAAGCCCAUGUUGUUAACCGGGUAACUUUUUUGUUAUGUCACACUUAUGAUAGAAAUCUGAAUGGCUAAGACAUUUUAUAUAACCAAAGAAAGUUUAUAACACUAAAUCAGUUAUUUAAAAGCCAAAAAUUAUAUUUGCACUAAUCCAAAACAUAUGUGUGUUAAACAGUAAAUAGGUUAACAGAAAAUGGAUAUAUAUAUAUAUAUAUAUAUAUAUUUAAGUUAGCAUGUUAACUAAUUCAAUAGAAAGCUAAACAUUCUAGUGACCGUUUAACACUUUUAAUGUGCAGGUUUCUGUCUUAGCAAAUAAUCCAGUAGCCGUCCAACCGGAAACAUAGUUUUGUUAACUUUGAUAAAAACUAGGCUAAGUUUAUUAGUGACAUGCUAUUUACAACUAUAUAUUGCUAACGUGUGAACAUCAACAAACAAAAAACAAUAAAUUUGGCUAAAAUAGUAUGUUUGCUAACCCACAGUUAUAUGAGUUAGGAUAUGUAGCAAUAAAAAGAGUAGGAUUCUGAUGAAAUCAAGAUUAUUUGGGGCAUAAACAAAAGAUUUCAAGAAUGCAGGCACCAGUGCUGCAAAUUCAGAACUUUCGCCUGGGUUAAAUUGUCACAAUCAGAAGUUAAAGGACUAAACUGAGGACGUGUCUGCAAUUUACAAAGACGUGGGUUAAUAUGAAAAUAACCAGAAGCCCAGAGGACCUGUAUUGCAAUAAUCUGUGAAAUCACCAUAAGAAGAGAUCUGAGCUUGGCUUCAACGCGGAAAAGGGCAAGUCCGUUACAGUGCAACAGCAAUUGGAGCUCGGGAUUGAUCUUGCCAUAACUGAUUCGCGAAGGAGGAUAGCUCGAGAAUUGGAGAUGGCUUCGACGGUGAAGAGAGCCAGUCGCUGCGGAGGACGUUGUAAUGUCACGGAGAAGACGAGAAUCUUGCGGUGGUUUGGAGCAAAAUCGCGAGCUAACCACUGUGGUUUACUGGAGAAGUACCAUGGCGAAAGAGAGUCGACAUUACUGUUUUUUUUUUUUUGAUCAAGGUCGACAUUGCUGUAUAUAAGAAGGAUGUCUUGAGAGAAUUUUGAGAUCUGUGAUUAAAGAACUAAUGGAAAAGUUUCUAAAAACAAGAAUAUGCCCACUUGCGUGACACAAGGAGAUUUUGUGUUAACUUGGAUUAUCAGGAUAUAAAAAAAAAAUAUGUUAUAUCUAUUACAGUUUACCGGUCACUGAUGAUCAUACAUGAGUAAGGGUAAAGUAGUAAACUAAUUCUCUCCUAACUGCAUCGAAAACAUAAAUAGUGUAUUAGCCUAAUUAUCGUAUAAGUCUUAUGUAUGGAGUGCAAAUACUCUUUAUAUAUACACCCCACGACCAUCUCUUGUCCAAUGUCCAUCGUAUUUUCCUCUUCUCCAAAGAAAAAAAGCAGUGAAAAAGAAAUGAAGCUUGUUAAUCAUGCUGUGUUGAUCCUUUUCCUAACGUUGAUCGCCGUCUCAUCGGCAAUGGAUAUGUCGAUCAUUUCCUACGAUAAAAAUCACCGCACCGUCUCCGCGGGCAGCCGGAGCGACGCCGAGGUUUCUAAACUCUACGAUGAAUGGCUAGUGAAACACGGGAAGGUUCAGAAUUCUCUUACAGAGAAAGACCGACGGUUCGAGAUCUUUAAAGACAAUCUCCGUUUCAUCGACGACCACAACGGGAAGAAUCUUAGUUACAGAUUGGGUCUUACGAAGUUCGCGGAUCUCACUAACGACGAGUAUAGAUCCAUGUACGUCGGCUCUAGGCUCAAGAGGAAAUCCACGAGGACCAGCCUUCGCUACGGGUCGCGUGUAGGUGACGCGCUCCCGGAGAGCGUUGACUGGAGGAAGGAAGGUGCGGUGGCUGAGGUUAAAGAUCAGGGAAGCUGCGGGAGUUGUUGGGCGUUUUCAGCCAUCGGGGCAGUGGAGGGCAUAAACAAAAUCGUGACCAGAGACUUAAUAUCUUUGUCUGAGCAAGAAUUGGUUGAUUGUGACACUUCAUACAAUGAAGGUUGUAACGGAGGCCUCAUGGACUAUGCCUUUGAGUUCAUUAUCAACAACGGUGGAAUUGAUACAGAGGAAGACUAUCCAUACAAGAGUGUUGAUGGACGUUGUGACCAGACCAGA